RNAcentral lists this ribosomal RNA (497 nucleotides) under uncultured bacterium. RNAcentral's name for it is "partial 16S ribosomal RNA". It matches the Rfam family "Bacterial small subunit ribosomal RNA", at positions 28 to 507 of the family's 1533-position model. The record is from RNAcentral.
GAUGAACGCUGGCGGCGUGCCUAAUACAUGCAAGUCGAGCGAACAGACGAGGAGCUUGCUCCUCUGACGUUAGCGGCGGACGGGUGAGUAACACGUGGAUAACCUACCUAUAAGACUGGGAUAACUUCGGGAAACCGGAGCUAAUACCGGAUAAUAUAUUGAACCGCAUGGUUCAAUAGUGAAAGACGGUUUUGCUGUCACUUAUAGAUGGAUCCGCGCCGCAUUAGCUAGUUGGUAAGGUAACGGCUUACCAAGGCAACGAUGCGUAGCCGACCUGAGAGGGGGAGCGGCAAAACGGGGAAGUAGAGAAGGUAGAGAAGAGUACGGGAGGGAGCAGUACGGAAUAUUGGGGAAGGGGUGCAUGACGGAGAGAGCAAUACAGCGUGAAUGAUGAAGGUCUUAUGAUAGUUAAACUCUGUUAGUAGAGAAGAACAGAAGUGCACGAAACGGUGCACAUCGUGGGGCUAGGUAAUCAGAAAGCAAGGGCUAGCCAAGUC